This 493-nucleotide ribosomal RNA is filed under the name uncultured bacterium. Its description in RNAcentral is "partial 16S ribosomal RNA". It matches the Rfam family "Bacterial small subunit ribosomal RNA", at positions 30 to 523 of the family's 1533-position model. The record is from RNAcentral.
AUUGAACGCUGGCGGCAUGCCUUACACAUGCAAGUCGAACGGUAACAGGUUAAGCUGACGAGUGGCGAACGGGUGAGUAAUAUAUCGGAACGUGCCCAGUCGUGGGGGAUAACGUAGCGAAAGCUACGCUAAUACCGCAUACGAUCUACGGAUGAAAGCGGGGGAUCGCAAGACCUCGCGCGAUUGGAGCGGCCGAUAUCAGAUUAGGUUGUUGGUGAGGUAAAAGCUCACCAAGCCUGCGAUCUGUAGCUGGUCUGAGAGGACGACCAGCCACACUGGAACUGAGACACGGUCCAGACUCCUACGGGAGGCAGCAGUGGGGAAUAUUGGACAAUGGGCGCAAGCCUGAUCCAGCCAUGCCGCGUGGGUGAGGAAGGCCUUCGGGUUGUAAAGCCCUUUUGUUGGGAAAGAAAAGCAGUCGGCCAAUACCCGAUUGUUCUGACGGUACCCAAAGAAUAAGCACCGGCUAACUUCGUGCCAGCCGCCGCAGUAA